RNAcentral lists this ribosomal RNA (879 nucleotides) under Triticum aestivum (bread wheat). RNAcentral's name for it is "partial small subunit ribosomal RNA". Lineage: Eukaryota; Viridiplantae; Streptophyta; Magnoliopsida; Poales; Poaceae. The record is from RNAcentral.
AUGGGGGCGGCCGCCGUCGCUUCCUCCGGCCCCGGGCUGCGCUGCGCGCUUAACCCCGCCCUGAACCAGCAUAAGAAAGGCGCGCGCUUGAGCUUAGCGGCCAAGAGUCAGCAGCGCUGCGCCGUCACUUGCGGGCGCUUGCUGCUCCGCCCGAACGCUCGCGUGUGCACGGCGGCAUCGGCAUCGGCAUCGACGGUGAUGGAUAGCGGGGCUGGGGACUCCGGGGUGAGGAGGAAGAGACUCGCGGUGUUCGUGUCCGGUGGAGGCUCCAACUUCCGGUCGAUCCACGAGGCCGCCCUGGGUGGGAAGGUGAACGGGGAUGUGGUUGCGCUCGUCACUGAUAAGCCAGGCUGCGGUGGCGCGGAGUAUGCAAGGUGCAAUGGCAUGCCCGUGGUCGUGUUUCCCAAGUCGAAAUCGGCGCCGGAGGGGGUCUCGACAGAUGAACUUUUGAAUGUUCUGAGGGAUCUGAAGGUAGACUUUGUUCUACUUGCUGGUUACUUGAAGCUCAUACCUGGUGAGCUAGUUAAGGCAUUUCCCAGAUCCAUGCUGAAUAUACAUCCUUCACUGCUCCCGGCAUUUGGAGGCAAGGGUUAUUAUGGUUUAAAAGUGCAUAAAGCAGUCAUUGCAUCUGGAGCCAGAUACUCAGGACCAACUGUGCACUUUGUGGAUGAGCAGUUCGACACUGGGAAAACCUUGGCCCAAAGAGUUGUGCCAGUGUUAGCCAAUGAUACUCCAGAGCAAUUGGCUGCAAGGGUUCUUCACGAGGAGCACCAAGUUUACGUUGAGGCAGUUGCUGCCUUGUGUGAGGAUCGAAUUGUGUGGCGAGACGAUGGUGUCCCACUUAUCAGAAGUCAGACAAACCCCAAUGCGUAUACCUAA